Molecule: long non-coding RNA, 224 nt
Filed under: Ananas comosus (pineapple)
Lineage: Eukaryota; Viridiplantae; Streptophyta; Magnoliopsida; Poales; Bromeliaceae
Description: long non-coding RNA (ACOM_LNC040872)
Source: RNAcentral
AUAUCCGUUUCAUUCGGGUUCGGGUUCGGAUAAAAUUUCGGGUAUCCAUACCCAUUGACAUCCCUAAAUAUGACGGAUAUUUUCUAAUAUUAUAUAAUAAAUAAAUUUAUUUUUAAAAUAUUAUAAAUUUUUGAAUAAAUAUGAUGUAUAAUUUUAUAUUAAUUUGAAAUAAUUUUAAAUAAUUAAUUGUUACGUGUAUUUGUACGUAUACUCAACUAGUGUAU